UUGGAGGGCAAGUCUGGUGCCAGCAGCCGCGGUAAUUCAAGCUCCAAUAGCGUAUAUUAAAGUUGUUGCAGUUAAAAAGCUCGUAGUUGAAUUUCGGGAUCAAUUUAUCGGUCGUGCCAAUGGUAUGAACUGGUACAAUUGGUUUCUCCCUUCUGACGAAGCAUGAUGUCAUUAAUUUGGUGUCGUGGGGAAUCAGGACUGUUACUUUGAAAAAAUUAGAGUGUUUAAGCAAGCACACGCUUGAGUACAUUAGCAUGGAAUAAUGAAAUAGGACGUUUGACCCUAUUUUGUUGGUUUCUAGGAUCGACGUAAUGAUUAAUAGGGAUAGUUGGGGGCAUUAGUAUUCAAUUGUCAGAGGUGAAAUUCUUGGAUUUAUUGAAGACUAACUUCUGCGAAAGCAUUUGCCAAGGAUGUUUUCAUUAAUCAAGAACGAAAGUUAGGGGAUCGAAGACGAUCAGAUACCGUCGUAGUCUUAACCAUAAACUAUGCCGACUAGGGAUCGGAUGAUGUUAAUUUUUUAGUGACUCAUUCGGCGCCUUACGGGAAAC
This 548-nucleotide ribosomal RNA is filed under the name uncultured Glomeromycotina. Its description in RNAcentral is "SSU rRNA". It matches the Rfam family "Eukaryotic small subunit ribosomal RNA", at positions 548 to 1098 of the family's 1831-position model. The record is from RNAcentral. Lineage: Eukaryota; Fungi; Glomeromycota.